GCUAGGCAUGGUGGUGUGUCCUUAUACUCCCAGCUACUUGGGAGGCCGAGGAGGCAGGACCAUUGCUUGAGUCCAGAUGUUCUGGGAUAUAGGGCACUAUGCUGAUCCAAUGUUCACACUAAGUUUAGCAUCAAUAUGGUGACUUCUUGGGAGUGGGGAACCACCAGGUUGCUGAAGGAGGAGUGAAACUGCCCAGGUCAGAAACAGAGCAGGUUAAAACUCCCAUGCUGAUCAGGAGUGGGAUUGUGCCUAUAAAUAGCCACCGCACUUGCCAUUGCACUCCAGCCUGGGCAGCUCAGGAAUACCCCAACUCU
RNAcentral lists this signal recognition particle RNA (314 nucleotides) under Aotus nancymaae (Ma's night monkey). Its description in RNAcentral is "Metazoan signal recognition particle RNA (ENSANAG00000008514.1)". It matches the Rfam family "Metazoan signal recognition particle RNA". From Rfam's summary of the family: The signal recognition particle (SRP) is a universally conserved ribonucleoprotein. It is involved in the co-translational targeting of proteins to membranes. Lineage: Eukaryota; Metazoa; Chordata; Mammalia; Primates; Aotidae. The record is from RNAcentral.